RNAcentral lists this ribosomal RNA (253 nucleotides) under uncultured bacterium. Its description in RNAcentral is "partial 16S ribosomal RNA". It matches the Rfam family "Bacterial small subunit ribosomal RNA", at positions 524 to 776 of the family's 1533-position model. The record is from RNAcentral.
UACGUAGGGGUCUAGCGUUGUCCGGAAUCAUUGGGCGUAAAGAGCUCGUAGGCGGCCAACUAAGUCAGACGUGAAAUCCCUCGGCUUAACCGGGGAACUGCGUCUGAUACUGGAUGGCUAGAGGUUGGGAGAGGGAUGCGGAAUUCCAGGUGUAGCGGUGAAAUGCGUAGAUAUCUGGAGGAACACCGGUGGCGAAGGCGGCAUCCUGGACCAAUUCUGACGCUGAGGAGCGAAAGCCAGGGGAGCAAACGGG